GCCCUCGGGUGUCGACGAGGCAGCACUGCAGCCACCCCCGGCCACCCCCGCGUACGGAGAACACUGCAGGCAGCCGGCGCACACGUGCCACUCUCCGGUGUUUCGGGGACGGUCACCCCUCCUUUUUAUUUCUUGGCCUGUUUGAUUGUCAGCUCUUAUACACGCUGCCGAGUACAAUGGACUGCAGUCCCUGAGCGGAGCCGAAAGAUACUGCUGCGCGGUUCAGAGUACCAACCCGUAAUCCUGGAGGAUAACAGCUACGGUGACUCCCCGGCAGAGUAGCCAGGUCUGGCAAAAGCUGUCCAUACCCGCUGUGUUGGUACGUACGUCGUUUGCACACUGCUGCCUGGGCUGCGUGGCCAUUAACGGCUGCAGGUAGAGGCAUGCAGCCAGAGAUGAGCUGAGCCGUUAUUUUUAGCCGCCAUUAGAAGAACUCAGAACAAAGAAAACUCAGUAACAGGAGUGUGAAUUUGCAUUUCAAUGUUAUAAUGGCAAACACAAUGUGUUUUAAACAAGAUGAUUCUUUAUAAGGGUGAAUUUUCCCAAAUUAUUGAAGUAUAUAUAUCCACACUAGUGUAUUAUUAAAAUACUAUUCAUUAGAAGUAUUUCUUUUCUAAUGAAAGGAGGCUGCUCACAUAGUCCUGACAAAUUACAGGAAGUAUCAUUUAUUACAGUAUAAACUUCCUGCCUGUCUUUUAACAGUUCAUUGCCAGUAAUAAAGUAUGCCUUGCUUACGCUUAGCAGCCACAAUAGUGUAGGAUGGUAUGCAAAGUAGCAUGAAGUUUAGCUCAGACUAAUCAUCUUAAUAUCUACCCUGAUUCUUAGGAAGAUUUGCAGCCUAAGGCAACUGUCGUGUCUGUGGGCCUCUUAUUACUUAAUUUAAAAUACAUUAUUCUGCAAUAUUAAUCCUGUGCUUUCAGCGACUAUAGUGCAGUCAUCCACUGAGAUUGUUGCUGGAAUAGAAAGCAAAUGACUUUAUUCUAGGUUAAACAUGGAUGUGAUGCAGUGUUUGAAAAGCCAAGGUUUAAAAAAAAUAAAGGAAAAAAGAGGGAUUCCUAUAAAUGUUUUCCCUAUGUGGAUAGCUGUUGCUGUUCCACAAAAUAUAAUAAUCAGAGAACUCUCUUUUUUCCUUUCUCCAAGCAACCCAGACUGAUCUUUGGUCAUGUGUUAUAUCAGCAACAUAUAUUAUGGCACCACAUUUUCUUCUAACCCAUGCACUUGGCCUUCCAAGGCCAAGUUGGAUGUUGGAUCUCGGAGGAUAAGACUGAAAUCAAAUGUGUUGUUGCAUCUUCACAUCCAGUACAUGGGAAUUUCCAGCUGAUUUAUCAGUAUAGACAUGGUCUUUAGGAUCAGCUGGACUUGCACUUUCUUUCCAGAACACUUCUGUAGCUUCUGACAUUCAUAUGCAUUAGUGGAAAACUGUCAUUUGCAUGAUGGAGCAUGAAAAUAUAAAACAUUUUGUUCAAAAAAAAGUUCUUUUCACAUUUUUAAAAUCUAUAUGCAUUUGUUUUUGUUUUAAUUUGGGAAUAUGUAUGUAGUUUGAGAAGAUUAAUGACUAAUAAUCUUGGUAUUUCUCUACAGUCUUCUGCCACAUCAUUUGACUAGUUCAUCCAUGCAAUUCCUCUGUUGCAUAAGUUCUGAGACUUUUUCAGGCAGAGGCUGUCACUCAGAGAUAGUUGCACCAAAUUAUGUAAGAGGUUUUUUUAUUUGAUUUGUGCAGACAUUGUAUUUUGAAGUUCAUACAAAAUGCUGCAGUCUCAAAACACUUAUUUCAUCUAUACAGUCUAAUAUAGCUUAUUAAAGUGAAUAAUCGUGCAAGGAGCUACAUUUAUGCUGGAAGAUUUAUCUUUGUAAAGAUAUCAGACUUUCUGACUGUUCUUAACAUUUAUAGUUUUAGCACUUUGUUGGCAAAUCCUUAGGUAGUUAAAAAAAACAGAAUUCAGAUGUUAAAGUAGUUGCAUUAUAUUUUCAUUUACUUUCUGCUUAAAAAAUAUCAGUUAAAAAUAAGGGUUAUUUUUUAAACUAGUCUGUGGAUAAACCAUGUAUGUAAUAGUCUGGAAACAAUUGAUAAGCAUGAGUAAAAUGUAAUUCAGGGUCUGAUCCUGUAAUCCAUGCUCACAGAUGUAUAAAUGAUAACAUUUUCAGUUUAAGGGCACAAGCAGUUCUAAAAAUACUUAACUAAUUUUGCUCAUUUCCCAGUGUUCUGUAGAGAGUGGCUAUUUUAAAAAGUUAACCAAGUCUGUGUAGUUUUAAUUAGAUGUAUUAAAAAGAUAAAACAAGGAAAUAUAGCUCACAUUCAAACACUCAAAUAUGUGAAAAUAGCUGAAAUUGCUCUUACUGCACUAAGCUCAUUGAAUUGACUUGCUGGAAUGUUGAAUAUUAGAAUGAUCAGACCAGAGUGUUAACAGCUUUAAUGCUUUUAUCUGGAGCGGUUCGCCCACCUCCCCACCUGAGGGUUACCGAGCAGGCACAGUCGACUUUCUGAUGGCUGCAAUGCCGGGCUUCAUGCUGGUGUGUGAACUGCUGCUGUCUGUGCUUAGUGCAAAAAAGAGUGACUAAGACAGACCUUUGUGGUGAGAACCCUUGAUAAAGUUCUGUCGGGAACGCAUCCCGCUGUCCUCGAUAGAAAAGCCACCCUAGAUCUCAAGUUCGAUUCGGUAACUGAUUAAAUGGAUUCUGGUUUAGAUCACGAAUAUAUCACAUAGUCAAAAUUGUGCAAUAUUCUCCAUGAACAAUUAAAGUGAUUAUUUCAUUUUAGACCUUGAGUAAGGAGAUUGAAUGAGCUGGUAAACAUUACUUGGUGUUAAGAUGGUAUGAAAAUUUAAUAUCUUUGUUCUUCAGUCUCAGUGCUGCAGGAGUCUCUCUUUCGUCCUGGUAGAUAAUAUUAAUUGCUGUUUCUCUACCUGUGGAGCAUAUGAGAUUUGCCAUGCAAGCUCAGAAUGAAUGCAAUUAUCCAACAACCUUACAAAUUUAGAAAAUACUUUCUGCAGCCGAGACAUAUAGCAAUGUUAUAGCAUAUGUACAACCUAAAAAGACGGUUUCCAGAGAUGCAUAUGUAUAUUAAGUUUCAGCCUUCUGGGUGUGUGACUAUUCAGAGACCCCCAGCGAACUGUGUCCAGGUUAGCCUGUAGCCAAACAGGCAGACCCAGCACACCGUGCCUGUGGUGCGUUCAAGCUGAAAGAGACUUCAGGUGCACUGUCAUCACCAGGUAUCAUGCUGACACGGUGUCCACAAGGGGUGGAUCUUUUCUGGGCAAUUCACAGCUGCUCUUAGACUACCAAAUAGUCAGAAUCCUAUACGGAAUUAUUAAUGGUUUUGCUACUGAAAAAAGAAAUAAAAACAACAUUAAACUACUGCUUCAUUGUUCUACUACCUUUAGCUCACAGAGCUUUAGUUCCUGGGGAAGCAAUAAGGGGUAAGAUGAAAUAGGAUUUUUUUCCAGCUUUUUUUAGUAGCAGACUAGUGAAGGUGAUAUGAUCAAGGUCCCUAGGUUUUUUUUUUCUUUUCCUCUAUCCAAGAAAACUCAGAAGGAUACAUCACUGCUUUGACAGAGAGGGGAUAAAACAAAAUCAAAAAAAGAAGAGCUGCUUUUUCAGGAGCAAUUCCCACUUACUGUGAUUUAAGCACCCACUCUGAGGUUCUGGGACUAAGUACAUGGUCCAUAUGCUCUGACUGCAAAAAACACUAUCCACAAAGAGCGAGGUCACUGUGAUUACCUAUGUGAAGUUUCAUUCAGGAUGCCCAUUAUCUGGAGAAACCCAUUGUUGCACAUGAUCUAUCUUAUAUUUUCUCAACAUAUAAUACUUGAAGACCAAUAUAAAUAUUCUGUAGAGUGAUACUUUCUAAGUCAUUAAUUUUAAAUGAUAAAUCAAAAAUAUUUUAAAAAGAGAGAUUUGUUCUGCAUUGUCAGAGAAUAACUACUUCUAAAAUAAACUAAAAAGGCUCUAUAAAUGAAUAAAUUUUGCAAUUUUUUGCCUUCAAUAGUGUUCAAAGGUUAAAAAUGAAUUAAAAUUGUAAAAUAAGUGCACUAGCUACUUAUUUCAUUUAUUUUAUCUUUCCCUUUCCUCCUUUGAAUACUCUUUUCCUUAAAUUGUAUUUUCCAGAUAUUGCUAUAUUCCAGUUGUACUUUCUCUUUUUCUAAUAUUCUCUUCGUAAGUAUCCCCUUAAAGCACUUUAAAAAGUAUCUGACGAAUAUCGCUGUUUCUCUGUAUUAUGUGAAUGAUGUUAAUUAUCUUUACUUUUUAAUGGUUUAAAAAUUCAACUUCCCUAACUAAGAGUAUGUUUUUAAAAAAGUAGCGAUUGCACAGGGGAUGCUCCCAUUUUCUAUUUUUGCUUUUCUAGAUUAACGUUCAAAUAUUUCCUGAUAGAAAUGUAUGUUUUUGCAGGUGGAACAUUCCUCUGAUAGGUACAUUUGGUAUUGAAAUGAGUUAGUCCCGUAUAAAUCCUGGCAUAGGACUUUCUUCACUAGUUUUAGAUGGAUCUCUUCUUUCUCAAAGGUAUGGCACUAGGUGAGAAAAAGGUGCCGUCAACCUGUAGUUAUAUUUAUACCCGUCGAGGGGUGGGGAUCUUUAUGUAGAAAGGGGACACACAAAAGUGUAGCGAAGGGGCAUAUUUUUCUAAAUGUGCCCAGGAAACCUAUGAGAUAGGUGACACAGAGAAUUCAGAGGCCUUAAAACAGUGUCACCAUUUGAAAAGCAAAUUAUAAGCUGCAGGAGUGUGUGCACUCCUGCAAUGCUUAACAUAACCACAGUCUUCACUUUGAACUAUGCCUGACUAUUGGCUUACAUCCCGUUUUCAUGUAGCAAUAUCCAAGGUAACACAAAUCUGGCUCCAACUGUAAUGUACGUAGGAGACAGCGAGUAUUAAGACACCAAAGAAUUCAAAAUGUUUGAAUCUGGAAGGACGAAAGAACAGCGUACUCAGUGAUCAGCCUUUCAGGUGAAGGAGACAACAGCUGUGGUUUUGGUCCCUGUUCCCUUGAUUAUUUCUGUAUGCAUGGGUUAGUGACUAUCUCAUCUAAUUAAAAAUAAACACUGUGAUCGAGGAUCAAAACUCACAGGUCCCUCUUUUCCUUGACAAAGCCGUAACUAAAUGCUGUUGAAUAUGUGUGAUAUGUUAUGUGCAGAGCCCUUUAAGAUUCCAUCUGAUUUCUUUGAUCUUGUUUUAGGGUGCUUUCAGUGUAUUUCCAGUGAGCUAUAGUUUGCUCAAAUAUGUAUAUGUAUUUAUGUAUAUGUUAACAUAUAUAUGUUUUAAAUUCCUCUUCCCUUUGCAUUACUCUACUGAUUUUUUUUCUUAUAACUGUCUCCCAUGUCAAGAAGAUUUAACAAAAUGAAAAGUAUGUCUUCAUAGGAUAAAGACACAUUUUUGUUAGUUACCGUAAUACAGACAUGAAAGGAAAGAUAAAAGAAAAGAGAAGUAGUUCUUCAGAUAAAGUCCGUUAAGUAUUCAUAAUGUGAUGACAUAGGUGAUUGUGAUAUUAUCUAGACAGAAGAGCUCUGCCGAAGGUAGCUUUCAGACAAUUAUAUUGGUAAAAAGAAAAACUGGUAAAAGCUGAUGAAGUCAUUAAAUUUUCAAAAGUUACAAAUUAUCCUGUAAAGCUUCAGUGACUGCAAAUUAGCCUUUGCUAUAGCCCUCUGCUAACAAGCUAUAGAUCAUUUUAUUAUUCAUGAAUUUUAGUAAUUUCAGGACACCACAGGUCAUCUUAUGCUCAUUUAUUUGCUAAACACCUUGUGCUGGUAUGCCUAUGCUGAAAAAUUGCUACUAUUUACUUCCCGUGAGACAAGCAAGCAACAAACUGGUGGAUUUGGCCCCAGACAUCCACUCUGCCAGGCAACAUAUACAUCUUGCUGUCAGUGAAAUAAAUGAGCCCUUAAAUUGGCUGCAAAGCUUUAAGAGCUGAAAUUUGUAUGUCUAGUUAUCAAACAGAAAGUUCAGAACACCUGCCAAUAUGAAACAUAAUUAUGACAAGCUGUUACAUUUUACCUUUAACUUUUCAGCUUUAACACCACAACUUCAUUAUAAGAAUCUCCUCCUCCCUGCCCCUCCUUUCUCCCUUCCCCCAGACUCAGCUCCCCUCCCAAAAAACGCUCACUGCAUUCCAUUGUAAAUGCUGAGUUAACGCUAAUACACUGGGUCAUCUAUCAGCAGACAAAAAAAAAAGUCAGACAUAUUAAAAAUGCUAGGAUUCCUCCUAAGAAUAACCACAAAUUUUCACAGAUUACCAAAAAUGGCUAACUGUGUGUAGAUACCUGACCUUUAUAACCGCCUUUGAAGGCUUUUCAGAGAAAGUCAAAAAUCAUGAAACAGACUUACAGAUUCCUUGUUUUGUUUUUUACUUGAAAAAAUCGAUUCAAUUACUUCUAUCUUAUUUCACUGACCGACUUCAUUAUCUUUCCUUUUGGGUCGCAGAGCCCUACGGCACAGGUUUUUGCCACAACAAAUCCAACAAUUGAUAAGCUGUUUGCUGUUUAUCCAAAUGUUCAUGGGAGGGCAAAAAAAGAAAAAAGCCACCAAAAAUAAAUGUUACUCUUCUUUAAACCCACUUUAAACUAUGCCCUGUGUGCACUAUAACUAAAUAUCUUCCCUUGUGUGCAUGUAUACCUCUGUGUUACAAACCACAAACAGCUAUGUGAGAAGAACACUAUUUAAAGGAAAGACUUUCUUCUUAGCUGUCAAGGAAGAUAAUAUCUAGGCUAAAAUUCAUUUCAACAUUUUUUAUAGAUAUAUGUAUAUAUACACAUAUACACACAAUAUGUAUAUAUCAAUAUGAAGAGCUUAAAAAUUACAACCCUUGACCAAUUGCACCCUUCUGGUCAAUAAAGUAAAUAUGAGCAAUAUGAGAAACAAAUCAAAUGUAUGAACUUUACCUCUUUUAUUACUUUGACCAUAUUAUUUCUUUUUUUAUAGCACCUGCAUACUGUAUUUUCAUUCAAGAAAUUUGAUUGCGGAUAAAGUAGUCCCUACAUGUCAUAGCAAAAAAAUGACACACUAGCCAAAGUUUAAGUCAAUGUAUUAGUCAAAACACACCUUCUUUUCUUCUUUUUCUGACCUUUUGCUACAGACAUAGAAAUCUCACAUAUAUUUUGGGGUUAACAGGACUUCAGCAGGGCAAUCUGUGUUUUAAGCAGGGUUUCUUGCUGGUUCAGAUAUAUUGUUUGUUCAGUGUUGGGAUCCUAUGUAUUCAUACUGCGUUUUCUGUGUUUUGUGUACUGAUAAUGAAUUAAAACAGCAGAAAAUCAUAUACGUAUAUUUUAAAUGUGACAUGUCUGAUUUCAUUUUAAUGUGAUUUGAAAUAUUUCACCCUGAAUUUAUAAAAAAAAUCAUUAGCACAGCUA
Molecule: long non-coding RNA, 7335 nt
Organism: Dromaius novaehollandiae (emu)
Lineage: Eukaryota; Metazoa; Chordata; Aves; Casuariiformes; Dromaiidae
Exons: 2
Source: RefSeq, a predicted model, not a curated record